AUUGGCUCCCCGGUAGCGGGGAGCCAGUGCAAACGCAACAGUUUUGUAUCGCGGUUUUCGCGGCUACAGGUCUGUUGCGUGUGCGUUUUAUAAACAUCCUAAUUUUUGGUCGCACAUGAACCCGAUAGUGAUAAACCAGCUGCAGCGAAAACUCGGCUAUACUUUUA
Molecule: small RNA, 167 nt
Filed under: Morganella morganii
Lineage: Bacteria; Pseudomonadati; Pseudomonadota; Gammaproteobacteria; Enterobacterales; Morganellaceae
Description: rncO
Rfam family: rncO
About the family: This family represents a bacterial regulatory element (rncO) found in the rnc leader sequence. The rnc operon is negatively auto-regulated by transcript stability. rnc, the first gene in the operon codes for RNase III which cleaves the long rncO stem II leading to transcript degradation and a reduction in translation.
Source: RNAcentral